This is a long non-coding RNA of Solea solea (common sole), 663 nucleotides long. RefSeq lists it as uncharacterized. The record is from RefSeq and is a predicted model, not a curated record. NCBI's taxonomy places the organism in Eukaryota, Metazoa, Chordata, Actinopteri, Pleuronectiformes, Soleidae. The transcript is spliced from 5 exons.
GUCCUUCCCUUCGUUCCUCAGACAGAAAAAAUGGCAAAAUAAAUAGUCAAAAAAAACACAAAAUCGGCACGUUUGGUUUUCUCAUUUCUCGUUUUUUGAUUUUGACAACAGAAACGAUUUUUCGUUUAUGGUUCAAAACGAAAAACGAUGGUAUGUCCGUUUUCUCGUUAAUUGGUUUAAACGAAAAAAUGGACGGUUAAAACAUGGCAGCCAUUUUAAAGGGUUGUCAAACAGAACGGUUGUCAAAGCUAUGGCUUACGUCUAAGAAGACAAUACACCUGCUAUCCAGUACAAUAUGGUGUUGACCCGCCUGCUAGUGAGUCAUACUGGACUUGAGCUAAGACGGCUGUGACAACAAGACUCCAUAAGAUAAUGAAAUGUUGGGUUUUUUUCCAUGGGACUCACCAGCCUUUCUCCAGAAAAGACAGAAAACCUUGUUGAGUUGGUUUGGAAGCAAAGUAACACCAAAGUGAGGGGAGUGGCUGGUCACCGCUAAAUCCCAAGGCUCCAACAAGAAAUAACCUAGAGGACUCACCAGUCACCAGCGUGUCUUCAGGAAUCUCCUCAAUGAUGCAUUUUUCCUCCUGCUCUCCAAGAUCAAAAUACAUGGCUGCUGCCAACACCAGGUAACAAUGGAGCAGAAAGCCAAUGCCUCGAAAACCC